UGCUUGGGAACAUGCCUUGAGGUGGGGGACAACAGUUGGAAACGACUGCUAAUACCGCAUAAUGUCUACGGACCAAAGGGGGCUUCGGCUCUCGCCUUUAGAUUGGCCCAAGUGGGAUUAGCUAGUUGGUGAGGUAAUGGCUCACCAAGGCGACGAUCCCUAGCUGGUUUGAGAGGAUGAUCAGCCACACUGGGACUGAGACACGGCCCAGACUCCUACGGGAGGCAGCAGUGGGGAAUAUUGCACAAUGGGCGCAAGCCUGAUGCAGCCAUGCCGCGUGUGUGAAGAAGGCCUUCGGGUUGUAAAGCACUUUCAGUCAGGAGGAAAGCGUGGUGGUUAAUACCCAUCAUGUGUGACGUUACUGACAGAAGAAGCACCGGCUAACUCCGUGCCAGCAGCCGCGGUAAUACGGAGGGUGCGAGCGUUAAUCGGAAUUACUGGGCGUAAAGCGUACG
Molecule: ribosomal RNA, 455 nt
Filed under: Pseudoalteromonas translucida
Lineage: Bacteria; Pseudomonadati; Pseudomonadota; Gammaproteobacteria; Alteromonadales; Pseudoalteromonadaceae
Description: bacterial SSU rRNA
Rfam family: Bacterial small subunit ribosomal RNA
Source: RNAcentral